UAGGGAAUCUUCGGCAAUGGACGAAAGUCUGACCGAGCAACGCCGCGUGAGUGAAGAAGGUUUUCGGAUCGUAAAACUCUGUUGGUAGAGAAGAACGUUGGUGAGAGUGGAAAGCUCAUCAAGUGACGGUAACUACCCAGAAAGGGACGGCUAACUGCGUACCAG
This 165-nucleotide ribosomal RNA is filed under the name uncultured bacterium. Its description in RNAcentral is "partial 16S ribosomal RNA". It matches the Rfam family "Bacterial small subunit ribosomal RNA", at positions 355 to 511 of the family's 1533-position model. The record is from RNAcentral.